AUUGAACGCUGGCGGCAUGCCUUACACAUGCAAGUCGAGCGGCAGCGCGGGGGCAACCCUGGCGGCGAGCGGCGAACGGGUGAGUAAUACAUCGGAACGUGUCCUGUCGUGGGGGAUAACCAGUCGAAAGAUUGGCUAAUACCGCAUGACCUCGUAAGAGAAAAGCGGGGGAUCGCAAGACCUCGCGCGAUUGGAGCGGCCGAUGUCGGAUUAGCUAGUUGGCGGGGUAAAAGCCCACCAAGGCGACGAUCCGUAGCUGGUUUGAGAGAACGACCAGCCACACUGGGACUGAGACACGGCCCAGACUCCUACGGGAGGCAGCAGUGGGAAAUUUUGGACAAUGGGGGCAACCCUGAUCCAGCCAUGCCGCGUGUGUGAAGAAGGCCUUCGGGUUGUAAAGCACUUUCGGCCGGAACGAAAUCGCGCGGGUGAACAUCCCGCGUGGAUGACGGUACCGGAAGAAGAAGCACCGGCUAACUACGUGCCAGCAGCCGCCGUAA
Molecule: ribosomal RNA, 500 nt
Filed under: uncultured bacterium
Lineage: Bacteria
Description: partial 16S ribosomal RNA
Rfam family: Bacterial small subunit ribosomal RNA
Source: RNAcentral